RNAcentral lists this ribosomal RNA (424 nucleotides) under uncultured bacterium. Its description in RNAcentral is "bacterial SSU rRNA". It matches the Rfam family "Bacterial small subunit ribosomal RNA", at positions 356 to 773 of the family's 1533-position model. The record is from RNAcentral.
GGGGAAUAUUGCACAAUGGGCGAAAGCCUGAUGCAGCAACGCCGCGUGAGUGAUGAAGGUUUUCGGAUCGUAAAGCUCUGUUGCCAGGGAAGAACGUCUUAGAGAGUAACUGCUCUAAGAGUGACGGUACCUGAGAAGAAAGCCCCGGCUAACUACGUGCCAGCAGCCGCGGUAAUACGUAGGGGGCGAGCGUUGUCCGGAAUUAUUGGGCGUAAAGCGCGCGCAGGCGGCUGUUUAAGUCUGGUGUUUAAUCCUGGGGCUCAACCCCGGGUCGCACUGGAAACUGGACGGCUUGAGUGCAGAAGAGGAGAGUGGAAUUCCACGUGUAGCGGUGAAAUGCGUAGAGAUGUGGAGGAACACCAGUGGCGAAGGCGACUCUCUGGGCUGUAACUGACGCUGAGGCGCGAAAGCGUGGGGAGCAAAC